RNAcentral lists this long non-coding RNA (3053 nucleotides) under Olea europaea (common olive). Its description in RNAcentral is "long non-coding RNA (OEUR_LNC003902)". Lineage: Eukaryota; Viridiplantae; Streptophyta; Magnoliopsida; Lamiales; Oleaceae. The record is from RNAcentral.
UUAAUUUUUGUUUUUUAUGUGGUUUAUUUCCAUUGUAGGAUGCGCGGAAGGAAUUUUGGUAUCUGUCAUAGUUGUAGAGCGAAGGGGCACUUCUUGCCGAUUGUUGAAGAAAUGUCACAUACAUUCCAAACUUGAGUUCGCCUCCUCAAUGAAGAAGACCUACAAAUUCCGGUGUACGUGACAAUAUGCAAGGCAAAUGGUAGUGUGGAAGCGAAUGUAAAAAGGAAGGGUCGAUCUGAUUAUUAGAUAAACCUCAACUCUCAGGUUGUGACAUAACUUUUGUAUAUGGAGCAUUUUCAUGUACUUUAAGCUCUAUGUUAAAAGAAUUUGUGAACUAAUGGAAGCUAUGUAGCGAUAUGAAUUUGCAUGUUUCCCAUAGGCAGCGGUUGUAAUGACAUGUUUACUUUAAAAUUUCUUACUUCUUCAUGUGAAUCUUUAUACUUGCUUGCAUUUUUGUAAUAUCAGAUUCACAGUGAAGCUUCCAUUCGUGUGAAAGUAAUAUUUUGCAAAUUUUAUAUGUCACAAUGAUGUUUGUGUGAAAUUAAUAUUUGGCAAUUUCAAUGUCACAGGAAACCAUAUGAAACUAAAAUAAUGAAAUCCACAAUAGAAGCUUCAAACUAAAAUAAUUUACAAAACAGAAGUCACAAUCCAUUCCCUAAACCCUGAUAUUUACUUUAAAAGAAGUAAGUAAAAAACCUGAAGUGGUUUAUUUCCGUUGUAGAAUGUGCGGAAGGAAUUUUGGUAUCUAUCAUAGUUGUAGAGCGAAGGGGCACUUCUUGCCGAUUGUUGAAGAAAUGUCACACACAUUCCAAACUUGAGUUCACCUCCUCGAUGAAGAAGAAUUACAAAUUUCGGUGUACGUGACAAUAUGCAAGACAAAUGGAAGUUUGGAAGCGAAUGCAAAAGGGAAGGGUUGAUCUGAUUAUUAGAUAAACCUCAACUCUCAGGUUGUGACAUAACUUUUGUAUAUGAAGCAUUUUCAUGUACUUUAAGCUCUAUGUUAAAAGAAUUUGUGAACUAAUGGAAGCUAUGUAUCGAUCUGAAUUUGCAUAUUUCCCAUAAGCAGUAGUUCUAAUGACAUGUUUACUUUAAAAUUUCUUACUCGUUCAUGUGAAUCUUUAUACUUGCUUGCAUUUUUGUAAUAUCAGAUUCACAGUGAAGCUUCCAUUCAUGUGAAAGUAAUAUUUUGCGGAUUUUAUGUCACAGUGAUGUUUGUGUGAAAUUAAUAUUUGGCAAUUUCAAUGUCACAGGAAACCAUAUGAAACUAAAAUAACGAAAUCCACAAUAGAAGCUUCAAACUAAAAUAAUUUGCAGAACAAAAGUCACAAUCCAUUCCCUAAACCCGAUAUUUACUUUAAAAGAAGUAAGUAAAAAACCUGAAGUGGUUUAUUUCCAUUGUAGAAUGCGCGGAAGGAAUUUUGGUAUCUGUCAUAUUUGUAGAGCGAAGGGGCACUUCUUGCCGAUUGUUGAAGAAAUGUCACACACAUUCCAAACUCGAGUUCGCCUCCUCAAUGAAGAAGACCUACAAAUUUCGGUGAACGUGACAAUAUGCAAGGUAAAUGGUAGUGUGGAAGCGAAUGCAAAAAGGAAGGGUUGAUCUGAUUAUUAGAUAAACCUCAACUCUCAAGUUGUGACAUAACUUUUGUAUAUGGAGCAUUUUUAUGUACUUUAAGCUCUAUGUUAAAAGAAUUUGUGAACUAAUGAAAGCUAUGUAGCGAUUGAAAUUUGCAUGUUUCCCAUAGGCAGCAGUUGUAAUGACAUGUUUACUUUAAAAUUUCUUACUCGUUCAUGUGAAUCUUUAUACUUGUUUGCAUUUUUGUAAUAUCAGAUUCACAGUGAAGCUUCCAUUCUUGUGAAAGUAAUAUUUUGCAGAUUCUAUAUGUCACAGUGAUGUUUGUGUGAAAGUAGUAUUUGGCAAUUUCAAUGUCACAGGAAACCAUAUGAAACUAAAAUACUGAAAUCCACAAUAGAAGCUUCAAACUAAAAUAAUGUAUAGAACAGAAGUCACAAUCCAUUCACUAAACCCCGAUAUUUACUUUAAAAGAAGUAAGUAAAAAACCUGAAGUGAUUUAUUUCCAUUAUAGGAUGCGCGGAAGGAAUUUUGGUAUCUGUCAUAGUUGUAUAGCGAAGGGGCACUUCUUGCCGAUUGUUGAAGAAAUGUCACACACAUUCCAAACUCGAGUUCGCCUCCUCAAUGAAGAAGACCUACAAAUUCCGGUGUACAUGACAAUAUGCAAGGCAAAUGGUAGUGUGGAAGCGAAUGUAAAAAGGAAGGGUCGAUCUGAUUAUUAGAUAAACCUCAACUCUCAGGUUGUGACAUAACUUUUGUAUAUGGAGCAUUUUCAUGUACUUUAAGCUCUAUGUUAAAAGAAUUUGUGAACUAAUGGAAGCUAUGUAGCGAUCUGAAUUUGCAUGUUUCCCAUAAGCAACAGUUGUAAUGACAUGUUUACUUUAAAAUUUCUUACUCGUUCAUGUGAAUCUUUAUACUUGCUUGCAUUUUUGUAAUAUCAGAUUCACAGUAACGCUUCCAUUCUUGUGAAAGUAAUAUUUUGCAGAUUAUAUAUGUCACAGUGAUGUUUGAGUGAAAGUAAUAUUUGGCAAUUUCAAUAUGUCACAGGAAACCAUAUGAAACUAAAAUAAUGAAAUCCACAAUAGAAGCUUCAAACUAAAAUAAUGUACAGAACAGAAGUCACAAUACAUUCCCUAAACCCCGAUAUUUACUUUAAAAGAAGUAAGUAAAAAACAUGAAGUGGUUUAUUUCCAUUGUAGAAUGCGCGGAAGGAAUUUUGGUAUCUGUCAUAGUUGUAGAGUGAAGGGGCACUUCUUGCCGAUUGUUGAAGAAAUGUCACACACAUUCCAAACUCGAGUUCGCCUCCUCAAUGAAGAAGACCUACAAAUUUCGGUGAACGUGACAAUAUGCAAGGCAAAUGGUAGUGUGGAAGCGAAUGCAAAAAGGAAGGGUUAAUCUGAUUAUUAGAUAAACCUCAACUCUCAGGUUGUGAUAUAACUUUUGUAUACGGAGCAUUUUUAUGUACUUUAAGCUCUAUGUUAAA